AUCGGUUCUCCUCGUGGAGAUUAAUAGGGAAUCGGGUGAGAGUCCUGAACAGUCCCGCUGCUGUGAGUCGUCCUUAGUGAGGCGCAAACAUGUAUGUCACUGAGAUUAUUGGGAAGACGUUUGUGGCCAGACGACGAGUCAGAAUACCUGCCGACGAAGA
RNAcentral lists this non-coding RNA (160 nucleotides) under uncultured Prevotella sp. Lineage: Bacteria; Pseudomonadati; Bacteroidota; Bacteroidia; Bacteroidales; Prevotellaceae. The record is from RNAcentral.